This 253-nucleotide ribosomal RNA is filed under the name uncultured bacterium. RNAcentral's name for it is "partial 16S ribosomal RNA". It matches the Rfam family "Bacterial small subunit ribosomal RNA", at positions 524 to 776 of the family's 1533-position model. The record is from RNAcentral.
UACAGAGGUCCCAAGCGUUGUUCGGAUUCACUGGGCGUAAAGGGUGCGCAGGUGGGUUUGCAAGUUCGAUGUGAAAGCCCCGGGCUUAACCCGGGAAUGGCAUUGGAUACUGCAGAUCUGGAGGAUCGGAGGGGGGACUGGAAUUCUUGGUGUAGCAGUGAAAUGCGUAGAGAUGUGGAGGAACACCGAUGGCGAAGGCAGCCUCCUGGGCCAGCACUGACGCCCAUGUACGAAAGCGUGGGGAGCAAACAGG